GCUUAAGAAUCGCAUGAUUUUUGAGUCAAAGAUUUAUCGGCAUAGGAUGGGCCCGCGUCUGAUUAGCUAGUUGGUGGGGUAAAGGCUCACCAAGGCGACGAUCAGUAGCCGACCUGAGAGGGUGAUCGGCCACACUGGAACUGAGACACGGUCCAGACUCCUACGGGAGGCAGCAGUGGGGAAUAUUGCACAAUGGGGGAAACCCUGAUGCAGCAACGCCGCGUGAGUGAAGAAGGCCUUCGGGUCGUAAAGCUCUGUCCUAAGGGAAGAAUAAAUGACGGUACCUUAGGAGGAAGCCCCGGCUAACUACGUGCCAGCAGCCGCGGUAAUACGUAGGGGGCAAGCGUUAUCCGGAAUCAUUGGGCGUAAAGGGUGCGUAGGCGGUCAAUAAAGUCAGGGGUGAAAGGCUACGGCUCAACCGUAGUAAGCCCUUGAAACUUAGUGACUUGAGUGCAGGAGAGGUAAGUGGAAUUCCUAGUGUAGCGGUGAAAUGCGUAGAUAUUAGGAGGAACACCAGUGGCGAAGGCGACUUACUGGACUGUAACUGACGCUGAGGCACGAAAGCGUGGGGAGCGAACAGGAUUAGAUACCCU
This 593-nucleotide ribosomal RNA is filed under the name uncultured bacterium. Its description in RNAcentral is "bacterial SSU rRNA". It matches the Rfam family "Bacterial small subunit ribosomal RNA", at positions 173 to 788 of the family's 1533-position model. The record is from RNAcentral.